CACGUAGGGCGCGAGCGUUGUCCGGAAUCAUUGGGCGUAAAGAGCUCGUAGGCGGCUUGGUAAGUCGGAUGUGAAACCUCCAGGCUCAACCCGGAGUCGCCAUCCGAUACUGCCAUGGCUAGAGUCCGGUAGGGGCCCACGGAAUUCCUGGUGUAGCGGUGAAAUGCGCAGAUAUCAGGAGGAACACCGAUGGCGAAGGCAGUGGGCUGGGCCGGCACUGACGCUGAGGAGCGAAAGCGUGGGGAGCGAACAGG
RNAcentral lists this ribosomal RNA (254 nucleotides) under uncultured bacterium. Its description in RNAcentral is "partial 16S ribosomal RNA". It matches the Rfam family "Bacterial small subunit ribosomal RNA", at positions 524 to 776 of the family's 1533-position model. The record is from RNAcentral.